GAUGAACGUUGGCGGUGUGCCUAAUACAUGCAAGUCGAACGGAGAUUGUAGCAAUACGGUCUUAGUGGCGAACGGGUGAGUAACGCGUUGGUGACCUGCCCCGAAGUGUGGGAUACCAGGCCGAAAGGCUUGCUAAUACCGCAUGCACAACCGAGGACUAGGAGAUUGGUUGUAAAGGGAUUUAUCCCGCUUUGGGAGGGGCCUGCGUCCCAUCAGCCAGUUGGUAAGGUAACGGCUUACCAAGGCGAUGACGGGUAGGGGACCUGAGAGGGUGACCCCCCACAAUGGAACUGAAAAC
This 298-nucleotide ribosomal RNA is filed under the name uncultured bacterium. RNAcentral's name for it is "partial 16S ribosomal RNA". It matches the Rfam family "Bacterial small subunit ribosomal RNA", at positions 28 to 326 of the family's 1533-position model. The record is from RNAcentral.